CCCUGCCAUUUGUACACACCGCCCGUCGCUCCUACCGAUUGAAUGGUCCGGUGAAAUCUUCGGAUUGCUGGCCUUGCCUUGGCAACUUGGCUUGGUUGCGAGAAGUUGAUUAAACCUUAUCAUUUAGA
RNAcentral lists this ribosomal RNA (128 nucleotides) under uncultured eukaryote. RNAcentral describes it as "partial small subunit ribosomal RNA". It matches the Rfam family "Eukaryotic small subunit ribosomal RNA", at positions 1651 to 1777 of the family's 1831-position model. The record is from RNAcentral.